UACGAAACUUAAAUACACGCGGCAUAAAUUGAAGUUGGCAUUUACUCAUAAGACGAUUGUAGAGGAAGCAAAUGAUCAUCUUUUUGGUAUGAGUAUCUUCGACUUAAAACCUUAUGAGUAUUUGAUAAACAAAAUUGAUGUUGAAGAAAGUGAACUCUUCGAUGUCAUUGGAGAGGUUGUAAGUUAUGGUGAGGUAGAAUCCCAUAACCAAGGUGAUAAAACCAGCAAUUAUAUGAAUGUGGAACUUGAAGAUCAUGAGAGGAAUAAUAUUUCGGCAAUAUUUUAGGGAGAAUUCGUUGACCAAAUCUUACCACAUUUACAGGGAUCACCCCAUCAGCCGGUCAUAAUUGUUAUGCAGUUGAUAAAAGCUCACAAAUUUCAAGGUAUUUCUAUUGUCUUGAUGACAUGGGAUAAUUUUUUUAUGUUAAUUUUUUGGUUCAGAAACUAAAGUUAUAUA
This is a long non-coding RNA of Nicotiana attenuata, 457 nucleotides long. RefSeq lists it as uncharacterized. The record is from RefSeq and is a predicted model, not a curated record. The transcript is spliced from 3 exons. NCBI's taxonomy places the organism in Eukaryota, Viridiplantae, Streptophyta, Magnoliopsida, Solanales, Solanaceae.